AGCGAACGCUGGCGGCAGGCUUAACACAUGCAAGUCGAACGCCCCGCAAAGGGAGUGGCAGACGGGUGAGUAACACGUGGGAACGUACCCUUUGGUUCGGAAUAACUUGGGGAAACUCAAGCUAAUACCGGAUAAGCCCUUAUGGGGAAAGGUUUACUGCCGGAGGAUCGGCCCGCGUCUGAUUAGCUAGUUGGUGAGGUAAUGGCUCACCAAGGCGACGAUCAGUAGCUGGUCUGAGAGGGUGAUCAGCCACACUGGGACUGAGACACGGGCCGGACUCCUACGGGAGGCAGCAGUGGGGAAUAUUGGACAAGGGGGGCAACCCUGAUCCAGCCAUGCCGCGUGAGCGAUGAAGGCCUUAGGGCUGUAAAGCUCUUUUACCCGGGACGAUAAUGACUGUACCGGGAGAAUAAGCCCCGGCUAACUUCGUGCCAGCCGCCGCCGUAA
Molecule: ribosomal RNA, 447 nt
Filed under: uncultured bacterium
Lineage: Bacteria
Description: partial 16S ribosomal RNA
Rfam family: Bacterial small subunit ribosomal RNA
Source: RNAcentral